UUUGGCGUUUUGUUUGCACCUGGUCCGUUUCUUUUUAGAGACGAGUACUAGUGUGCACGACCCAUUCUUCUGGAAAGUGUUUCUGCCCUUCACUGGGUGGUCUCAUGAUCCCGAUCAUUUACUGUGAGAAAAUCAGAGUGUUCAAAGCAGGCUUUAUGCUUGUAUGGUUCAGCAUGGAAUAAUAAGAUAUGACUCUGGUGAUAUUUUGUUGGCUGUAUGACCAGAGUAAUGAUUGAAAGGGAUAGUUGGGGGUGCUAGUAUUUAGUGGUCAGCGGUGAAAUGCGAGGACCCAUUAAAGACUAACUUAUGCGAAAGCAUU
Molecule: ribosomal RNA, 319 nt
Filed under: uncultured Thalassomyxa
Lineage: Eukaryota; Endomyxa; Vampyrellida
Description: SSU rRNA
Rfam family: Eukaryotic small subunit ribosomal RNA
Source: RNAcentral